UUUUUUUUUUUUUUUUUUUUUUUUUUUUUUUUUAGAUGGAGUCUCUCUCUGUUGCCCAGGCUGGAGUGCAUUAGUGUGAUCUCAGCUCACUUCAGCCUCUGCCUCCCAGGUUCAAGUGAUUCUCCUUCCUCAGUCUCCUGAGUAGCUGGGAUUACAGGUGCCUACCACCAACUCCAGCUAAUUUUUGUAGUUUUAGACAGGAUUUCUUCGUGUUCACUAGGCUGGUCUCAAACUUCUGACCUCAAGUGAUCCACCCACCUCGGCCUCCCAAAACGCUGGGAUUACAGGUGUGAGCCACAGCACCUGGCCCCAUUUGUGCCUUUUUAAGGUCCAUUAUAGUAGUUACAUUUCUAGAAAAACUAAAAGAAAUUCUGAGAUACAAUGUGAAAUGGAAUUUGGCAAGCAGCUCUUAAUAUCACUUUUACUUAGCAUGCAUUAGACACCUACAGUGCAGGUGAGGAACACUGCUAGGUGUCCUGCAGAGACAGGACGGAUGGGUGCCAUCAGCAAGCAUGCAUCAGAUCCCAAAGUACCUUCUCUAUGGGGCAUCUUGAGUUUUCUUUGCAGCUGUGGUCUUUUUUUUUUUUUUUUCCCUUACUUGGGGGUGCUCUGCUAGAACCAGGUUAAAUAGAAUUUUGUUUUCACUAUACUUUACUGUUCUUUUUCUGAGCUGGCAUCACUAGACUAUCCAGUUGUCUUGAUUGCAGCAGUCUAAAUCAAUUGGCUCUUCCCUCAAUCUACCUCAUUCACACAAUCUUUCAGCCACAGGAGCACAUCUCACAAAAAUGAGAAGUGUCUUUCCUAGUAACUGCCAUCUGCUUCAAUUGGCUGCCUGGUAAAACUAUUGUGAACUUGCUGAAUCACUGCUGUGUUGCUCAUAGCUGUGUCCAAACUGUGAAAAUUGCUCAGUCUCUGAUCAUGUCUCGCCUUGGUAGGUACGGGUCACUAGCACAAUUGGUGUGAUGGUUCAUUUUAAGCAUCAUUUUGGCUGGGCUACAGUGUCUAGACAUGUGGCCAAACAUUAUUCCAGACGUUUCUGUAGGUGUUCUUGGAUGAGAUUUUUACAUUUAAAUGGAUGGGCUUUGAGUAAAGCAGAUCACCCUCAUAAUGAGGAUGGACCUCAUCCAAUCAGUUGAAAGACUGAAUAAAACAAAAGACUAAGCAAGAGUGGAUUCGGCAGCCUAUGGCCUUCAGGCUUGAACUGCAACAUGGACUCUUCCUGGGUCUCCAGGUUGCCAGCCCAACCUGCAGAUUUUGGACUUGUCAGCCUCCAUAAUUAUGUGAACCAAUUCCUUAAUAUCAACUUCUUCAUAUACCUAUAUAUACAGUCACACACUGCAUAACAAAGUUUUGGUCAAUAAUAGAUCACAUAUAUAACGGUGGUCUCAUGAGAUUAUAAUAGAGUAAUAUAAUGUAUUAUUAUAUAUUAUAAUAUAUUAUUAUAUAUAAUAUAUUCUAUAUAAUAUAUUAUUAUAUAUAAUAUAUUCUGUCAUUAUAUAUUAUAUGUCAUUAUAUAUGAUGUAUAUAUGUCAUUAUAAUAUAUAAUGAUAUAUGUCCUUUAAUAUAUAUUAUAUAUUAUGUCAUAUAAUAUAUAAUCAUAUUAUAUAUUAUGUCAUGAAAUAUAUAAUCAUAUAUUGUAUAUUAUAUGUCAUGAAAUAUAUAAUCAUAUAUUAUAUAUUAUAUGUCAUGAAAUAUAUAAUCAUAUAUUAUAUAUUAUAUGUCAUGAAAUAUAUAAUCAUAUAUUAUAUAUUAUAUGUCAUUUAAUAUAUAAUCAUAUAUUAUAUAUUAUAUGUCAUUUAAUAUAUAAUCAUAUAUUAUAUAUUAUGUCAUUUAAUAUAUAAUCAUAUAUAUGUCAUUAUAAUAUAUCAUGAUAUAUUAUAUAUUAUAUGUCAUUAUAAUAUAUCAUGAUAUAUUAUAUAUUAUAUGUCAUUAUAAUGUAAUAUAUUAUUAUAUAAUAUAUUAUUAUAUAAUAUAUUACAUUAUAUAUAAUAUAAAUAUAUAAUAUAUAUGAUAUAUAUUAUAUAUUACAUAAUUAUAUAUUAUAUACAUUAUUAUAUAUUAUAUAUAAUAUAUUACAUUAUUUAUUAUAUAUUAUAUAUAAUAUAUUACAUUAUGUAUUAUAUAUAAUUGUAUAUAAUAUAAUAUAUAUUAUUAUAUAACAAAAUUCCUAUCACCUAGUGAUUUCAUAGCCAUCGUAAUGUCACAGGACAACAUAUUACCCAACAAGGCUGUGGUUGAGACAGCAAACAAUGGUUCCUGAGAAACUGACUAAUGAGUUUUUGGAACUGGAACCAGAACCCAUAGCUGAAGAAGAGGCAAGAGAAAAGAAACUGCAGGAGAAGAAAAGAAGAAACCCCUGAGAAAAUUCACAGUGAAGCAUUUGGCAGAAGCUUUUGCUUGUUUUUCUUUAAAAAGUUUUUUUUUCUUUAAAAAGUUUGAAAGUGACCUCUGAAGUUUGAAAGUGACCACUGAAAGGUUUUUAUUAAUAGAGAGGAAUGUUCAUGUUGCAUUAUCUGCUUACAAACAUAUCUGUGAUGAAAAAAAGAAAGAACCAAGAAAACUGCUAUGGACAUAUUUCUGAAAAGAGCGACACCUCCUCAAGAAGAUCCUCAGUCAGGUCCUUCAGGCCAUGUUCCAGAAAAAGGCAUUGCUAUCACAGGAGAUGACAGCCCC
RNAcentral lists this long non-coding RNA (2673 nucleotides) under Macaca fascicularis (crab-eating macaque). RNAcentral describes it as "lncRNA (ENSMFAG00000056649.1)". Lineage: Eukaryota; Metazoa; Chordata; Mammalia; Primates; Cercopithecidae. The record is from RNAcentral.